GCGUGGUAACGCGAGCCUGUAACCCGAGUGGGGGCAUUAAGGUGAUGGAACGUCAGUUCGGCCCAAUGGCCCGGAUUCGAUGUAGCUGUCUACUGGCUUGCCCGUUCCAAGCCGGGAGUUGAGCCGUGCGANAUUGAGCGGAGGCUCGGCUCGCACCUCUGCUGGAGUGGAGGGUACCGCGUGAGCUGGCUUCACAGAGCAGCGCUUACCUCCCGGUCCUGGCAGUGGAAGGAUAACGGCCCGGUGCUAGGUGGCUCCAAUAUGUUCUACUGGCUAAACAUGAUUGGGCAUACCUUUU
Molecule: signal recognition particle RNA, 298 nt
Filed under: Humulus japonicus (Japanese hop)
Lineage: Eukaryota; Viridiplantae; Streptophyta; Magnoliopsida; Rosales; Cannabaceae
Description: small cytoplasmic RNA 7S
Rfam family: Plant signal recognition particle RNA
Source: RNAcentral